This 1311-nucleotide long non-coding RNA is filed under the name Equus caballus (horse). RNAcentral describes it as "lncRNA (ENSECAG00000042597.2)". Lineage: Eukaryota; Metazoa; Chordata; Mammalia; Perissodactyla; Equidae. The record is from RNAcentral.
GAGAGUUUAUAGUGCUCGUAAUUUGUGCUUGAGAAGAUGAUUCAAGGAGGGCAUGAUAGCUAUGUUCAAGAUGUGAAAGGCUGUCAUAUGAGAGAGGAAUGAGAUUUGCUUUGCGGGUUUCGUGGAGCACUCAGCCCUGGUGUUCCACCACAUGAUAGAGAGAGGGAUUAGUAUGAUGUGUCUUCCUUCACGGAGACUUGGGUUCAAAGCCAGGGAGAGAGCAUUUUACUUGGUCACAUUGCAGACUGGCUUGGGGCAGGCCUGCUGGAUCCUCAUCAACAUCAGCUGGUGGGGAAGGGAAAGCAUCAGCGGACCGAUGAAGUGGGAGGCUGGGGAAAUGGACAGGCUGAAGGACUAGAUCCUGCUGGGCAGGCAGUGCUCUUAGGGGCUGCGUCUGAGACUUGUGUUGGGUUCAGGCUCCAUUUGGGCAGGAGGCACUUUCCACGGAGGUCUAACCUGACAGGCAGGUACUGUAGCAGGAAAUGAUAUGGUAGGAAAUACCCAAGCCAGAGGGCCAUUGAUAUUCUGGUGGGUCCGUUGGUUCACAUUAAGAUUCCUGCAGACCUUUGGGGGUACAGAGAAUAAGACCCCAUGCUUGGGGGAGCUGGUGCUAGGAAGGGUGUCAGGGAGAACUGGCAAGUAAACUGAGGCCAAAGUCCAGUUGAACUCCAUAGUUGAAGAGGACUACACUCUCCUGGAGACCUUGCUGGAGCUGUUGCAUAGACUGGCUCUGGGAUUAAGUGCUAGACCACUGAAACCAGGCACGACCUCAGAGUCCUUUUCACACAGUUCUAUAGAGAAUCAGAGACAGUCAUCACAGACGGCAUUCAAGAUGUCCUUGAUAACCCCGGGAAUGCAACCACUUCCUAUCUUUUUCAAGACCCAGCUUGCUGUCCCUUCUUCCGUGAAGCCUUCUUAAACCUUCUGCACCUGGCCCUUCCCUCUGUUAACUCUUGCCUCUCUGCAGCAUCAAAGUUUGUCUAUGGCCUGGGAGCUUCUCCGGAUUGAGACUGGCCCUCAGCAUGUGCCCUUCAGGGUGUUGGCCCAGGCUUAGGCGGGAGGAGAACAAGGCUGCGUCUGUGGGCAUUCGAGGACGUAUCAGGAAUCUCAUGACUGCUCCGGAAGUGGAGUCCCUGGCUUUCACCCUCAGAGACUUCCGUCUUCUGUGAUGUAUUAUAUACACUGGGAUCAAACCAGUCUUGAUGAACCUGACUUUUGACAACGGUUCUAACACUGUUGCCUUUAUUCAGUGUCAGCUGAACUAUUUCUGUCUAACUUGGCUGCCUAACCUACAAAUUUUUUCGAAUCAGA